GUUUGAAAUUGCCCACAGUCGGCAGAGCAUGAGGCUCUUAAUCUCAGGGUUAUGGGUUUGAGCCCCACUUUGGGCA
Molecule: non-coding RNA, 76 nt
Organism: Podarcis lilfordi (Lilford's wall lizard)
Lineage: Eukaryota; Metazoa; Chordata; Lepidosauria; Squamata; Lacertidae
Source: the annotation of a GenBank genome assembly